RNAcentral lists this ribosomal RNA (1160 nucleotides) under uncultured bacterium. RNAcentral describes it as "bacterial SSU rRNA". It matches the Rfam family "Bacterial small subunit ribosomal RNA", at positions 247 to 1401 of the family's 1533-position model. The record is from RNAcentral.
AGUAGGCGGGGUAACGGCCCACCUAGUCAACGAUGGAUAGGGGUUCUGAGAGGAAGGUCCCCCACAUUGGAACUGAGACACGGUCCAAACUCCUACGGGAGGCAGCAGUGAGGAAUAUUGGUCAAUGGGCGAUGGCCUGAACCAGCCAAGUAGCGUGAAGGAUGACUGCCCUAUGGGUUGUAAACUUCUUUUAUAAAGGAAUAAAGUCGGGUAUGCAUACCCGUUUGCAUGUACUUUAUGAAUAAGGAUCGGCUAACUCCGUGCCAGCAGCCGCGGUAAUACGGAGGAUCCGAGCGUUAUCCGGAUUUAUUGGGUUUAAAGGGAGCGUAGAUGGAUGUUUAAGUCAGUUGUGAAAGUUUGCGGCUCAACCGUAAAAUUGCAGUUGAUACUGGAUGUCUUGAGUGCAGUUGAGGCAGGCGGACUUCGUGGUGUAGCGGUGAAAAUGCUUAGGAUAUCACGAAGAACUCCGAUUGCGAAGGCAGCCUGCUAAGCUGCAACUGACAUUGAGGCUCGAAAAGUGUGGGUAUCAAACCAGGAAUUAGAUACCCUGGUAGUCCACACGGUAAACGAUGAAUACUCGCUGUUUGCGAUAUACGGCAAGCGGCCAAGCGAAAGCGUUAAGUAUUCCACCUGGGGAGUACGCCGGCAACGGUGAAACUCAAAGGAAUUGACGGGGGCCCGCACAAGCGGAGGAACAUGUGGUUUAAUUCGAUGAUACGCGAGGAACCUUACCCGGGCUUAAAUUGCACUCGAAUGAUCCGGAAACGGUUCAGCUAGCAAUAGCGAGUGUGAAGGUGCUGCAUGGUUGUCGUCAGCUCAUGCCGUGAGGUGUCGGCUUAAGUGCCAUAACGAGCGCAACCCUUGUUGUCAGUUACUAACAGGUGAUGCUGAGGAUUCUGACAAGACUGCCAUCGUAAGAUGUGAGGAAGGUGGGGAUGACGUCAAAUCAGCACGGCCCUUACGUCCGGGGCUACACACGUGUUACAAUGGGGGGGUACAGAGGGCCGCUACCACGCGAGUGGAUGCCAAUCCCUAAAACCCCUCUCAGUUCGGACUGGAGUCUGCAACCCGACUCCACGAAGCUGGAUUCGCUAGUAAUCGCGCAUCAGCCACGGCGCGGUGAAUACGUUCCCGGGACCUUGUACACACCGCCCGUUCAA